Delphinapterus leucas (beluga whale) is the source of this 107-nucleotide small nuclear RNA. NCBI's taxonomy places the organism in Eukaryota, Metazoa, Chordata, Mammalia, Artiodactyla, Monodontidae. The record is from Ensembl.
GUGCCCGCUUCAGCAGCACAUAUGCUAAAAUUGGAACGAUACAGAGAAGAUAAGCAUGGCCCCUGUGCAAGGGUGACACGCAAAUUCGUGAAGCGUUCCAUAUUUUU